GACGAACGCUGGCGGCGUGCUUAACACAUGCAAGUCGAACGGUGAAGCUCCAGCUUGCUGGAGUGGAUCAGUGGCGAACGGGUGAAUAACACGUGAGCAACCUGCCCCUGACUCUGGAAUAAGCGCUGGAAACGGCGUCUAAUACUGGAUACGAGAAGGGUCCGCAUGGGCACUUUCUGGAAAGUUUUUCGGUUGGGGAUGGGCUCGCGGCCUAUCAGCUUGUUGGUGAGGUAAUGGCUCACCAAGGCGACGACGGGUAGCCGGCCUGAGAGGGCGACCGGCCACACUGGGACUGAGACACGGCCCAGACUCCUACGGGAGGCAGCAGUGGGGAAUAUUGCACAAUGGGCGAAAGCCUGAUGCAGCGACGCCGCGUGAGGGAUGACGGCCUUCGGGUUGUAAACCUCUUUCAGCAGGGAAGAAGCGAAAGUGACGGUACCUGCAGAAGAAGCACCGGCUAACUACGUG
Molecule: ribosomal RNA, 468 nt
Filed under: uncultured bacterium
Lineage: Bacteria
Description: partial 16S ribosomal RNA
Rfam family: Bacterial small subunit ribosomal RNA
Source: RNAcentral